AUGGCAGCAGUUAGCGGUUUGGGGGUGCGUCUGGAGAUACAGCCUUGGCGGUCGGAGGCAAGCUGUCCCGGUCCCUCUCAGAGGACCCUGGGAAGGGAAGUGAGGAGGAGGGAUGUGAGCGCUGUGGGCCAGUCACACGCCCUUCCACUGGCACAGGAGAAAGGGGAGUCACCGGCUUCUCAUCUGGACUGGCUUUCAGCGGUGCCCGUCAGACAGGAGGCCACAUUCUCACCCCAGGGACAUCACGUGGCCAAGGGAGCUGCAUGCUGGGAGGCACAUCCGGGGCAGGUCUCACCCAGGAGUUUUUAG
Molecule: long non-coding RNA, 309 nt
Filed under: Fukomys damarensis (Damara mole-rat)
Lineage: Eukaryota; Metazoa; Chordata; Mammalia; Rodentia; Bathyergidae
Description: lncRNA (ENSFDAG00000026999.1)
Source: RNAcentral